Long non-coding RNA from Petromyzon marinus (sea lamprey), 3316 nucleotides. RefSeq lists it as uncharacterized. The record is from RefSeq and is a predicted model, not a curated record. NCBI's taxonomy places the organism in Eukaryota, Metazoa, Chordata, Hyperoartia, Petromyzontiformes, Petromyzontidae.
GGGGGUGGGGGGUCACCAGGAAUAGUUCAGAUAUCGCUCGCCACCGAUAGCUAUAGCCAGGAAUCAAACUAAGGUCACCAAGUUCAUAGGAGAGUGUAAUAACCACUACGCAUCCACUCCGCUCUGACCCCCGCAACAUUGGCCAUGAAACCACAACCAAACGAUCCCUUUCUCUCGCACGUGACAUCACAGGUUUCUUAACAUCCGUGUUACAAAAGACUGCACUCGUUAGUAAUGCCCCUUAACACGACUGGGUGGUUGUGGAAAUUAAACUGUCAGUGUUGAGAAAACUGGCUCAGUUGCGAGCGCAGUGAUCACUAAGGUGACCGGGGCUGUGUAAGCCACCUAUACUGAUGCCAUGUGUAAGACGUUCAUUUUUCUGCAAUGGCAUCAUUCUAAAUAGGCUAUUUUCUGCAAUGGCAUCAUUCUAAAUAGGCUAUUACAUUUUUCCAACCGUUACAGAAAUAAUUGUCUGCCACUAAUUUACCAAGAGGCCUCGUGUCCUAGAUAGCCGAUACAUAUUAAUCAUUACGGCGAUACCCCAAUUUGACACUUUAAACCUCAAUGUAGCCUUAGAGGAGUUUUUAUUUUUCACUAUCACGAGUAUGGGAACAUAGGAGAAGCGGGAGGGGGGGGGCGAGUUUACCACCCCAACAUCUAGACAGGGGUGGCAGAAAGUCAUAUUCUGUGCUACCCCGUCACCCCCCAUGUCUCCUUGUGCCCCUUGGCCACUUGACAUGGGCCCCACUUGACCUCCCCCCCCCCCUCGCCCACCGCGCCCCCAGGCCUCGAAAUCUUCCCUGCGUGCCCUAAUCACCUAAUCAGCCUGGGUGGCUCAGACGCCGUUGUCUCGGCAUCACAAUGAGCGAAGCCCGUUGUUGUCGUCAACCUCGGGGGUGCGCAGACGUGUCCGCACGCAGUCAAAUUAACUGUUGCAAUAAAGACCGGUGCCCCGCAGUGAAGUCGGACGACAUCUGCUCCGUGUCUCUUUCCCCUUCCCUUUAAUGUUGGCGCGAGGCCGCGUUAACCUUUCGUGUUACUUUCGCGAGUAACGUAAACUUUCCGCACUCGCGGGCACAUGUGGAUCAACUUGUGCCGCCUCUGCGCCGAUCACAGUUCGUUUAUGCCGUCAGCCUGCACACGUCGCUACGUUCGCUACUUUAAAGGCAAAGCCUCUUGUCAAAACAUUUCACACAUUCGAAAGCUUUUGUGAAAUUAAGCCUAGAAUUGUUAUUUUUAAGAGUGCGAUCUAUUGGAGCAAUGUUCGGCGGUGUCCAUAUCGUACUUUUCUGGGGUGCAUUAAUGUUUGCCGGCAACAUGCACCUCGGUGUUCUGCUUGAACGCCAGAGGAGAAUCCUCGAUUUGACACAGGCUGCAAAUUCUGAGGCCAACAUUUUCUGGUAUUUAAAUGCAACAGAGGCGUAAGUGGGUAAAAUUAUCCAUUACUGGAAACCAUUAGCCUCUCGUUAACCCCAACACACAAGCGGGUCUUUUGUGAGGAGCGAGGGCCUCGCUCACAGAGCAUGGACACUGAAGCCGUCUUGCUCACCGCAGCAGCAGCCUCCUCACCCCUGCCCUGGUGGUGUUCCAUCCUCACCCCCGGGACACUCGCCAUGCUCUCGAUUAUUAACGGAACCAGACUCUCUGCGCCGUGACUGAUACAUGCAUCCCCUUGGUGUGCCUGUAAUGGGAAAUUAAAGAUUGCUGUAAUUAAUUGUUAUAUGGGAGAGACUCACCAUCACCAUAUGAAUCUGGAAUUCUCACUGCUAGCCUUGCACGCUUAUUUAUUGUUUUAAUUGAUUAACGUAAUUUACCCAGGUUGUGUAACAUUUAUCAUCGUCAUCAUCACCUUCAGCCAGGGUUUACCCAUUGCAAGCUGAAGGGCCAUUCCAUGCCAUUGAUAUCCCUCAUGGUCCUGUGGUGCCACAAUCAAUCUCCUGCAUAUAAACUGAUCUCAUCACUCCAUUUCAAUUGCAGUCAUUCUCUCAGAUGUGUUUUCUCCUUUGGCUACCAUUUUGUCACCAGUCUCAUCCAUCUCACAUCAUCUCUUCCAGUGAUGUGACCUGCCCAUGCCUCGUUACUUUUCUCAACUGCCAAACUGUCUCUCUGAGAAAGAAAAAACAAAAAUCCCUUGAUUCGCGUGUAAAAUUUCGCCUCUCUCUCAGUGUAAUCAUUUGCAUAUGUUUCAGAUGUUUUAAUGUGUCCAUGUCCAUUUAUUCUGAUUCACUUUCCAGAAUUAUCCAACGAUUAAAACCUUUCUUCAUCUUGGUCACCGGUUCACCGCUCUCAAUUUCCAUAAAAUGUCACUGCCAACAAAAUACGUUUCUCAUUGGAAUAUGUACACAAUACCUUGCCUUCCGAAGCUGGUUCUCGCUGCACCCACACAGCCACCCAUGUCGGACGACGUUCCACCCCGUGACGCAGCAACGCACCAAAGGGGGCAAGGUGAGGGGGGGGGAGGGUCUUUCUCAAGGCAUCGUUUCCCACCGAGGCCUUGGGAAACUCUUGCUUUCUACCCAGUACAUUUUAAGCAAAGCUCUUGGGGAUAGCCUGAAGGGGAGCAUGGCACCCACAUCCAGUUGGACGUUGCCAGAACAGGAUCAGACAUUUCUUCUCUACUGAUGGAACUGGCUGCCAAGGCCCCAAAGCACACAAUGGCCCUGAGCACACAAAGAGAGUGUAUUUGGCUCAUUAAUCUGAGCCUGCUUUGAAUCUGCCGCCUGCAGUGUGCCUGGUCAGUUUAAUAUGCAGUAAAGGCCCUGUCCACAGUGAUAUCUGUCUGGUUCACGUGCCCUGUGGUAGCAGCUGCACUUCGUCUCACGUGAAGGUCCCAUUGCCCAACUUAUCUGUUAAAUGUGUGGAUUUCGCAGAAGGCAUUUGGCAAACAUUGUCAUCGUCAUUAGUCUGUGUGUGGAGUGCGAGUCGUGUAUCUCGAGUAUUAGCACAUGAGUUUCGACAUUGAUGACUUCAGUUCUCAAGGUUUUUUUGAUAAGAUGAGAAACGUUUUGCAAUACGUCUCAAUAAGAAAACACUGCCUCUCUACCAAGCAAAUGCAUUGUAACAAUGAUGCGAAACAUCUUACCUCUGCAAAACGUUACAUUUCCAAGUGCAAGCUAUCUAUGCUUGCACUGAUUUUUUUCAUAACCACUGAAGCCCAUUAUUAUGUUGUGCUGUCUAUCCUAUUUUUCAUGGCAUGAAGCCGUAUAGCUUCACCUGUGCACUAUGAAAUUAUGAAUUUCAGCUUAGAUUUAUGGAAAGGUGUUUGCACAUCAUACAAGGAUCCCCCGUAUAUCUUUAACAGACUGUAGGGUCAAGU